GACGAACGCUGGCGGCGUGCUUAACACAUGCAAGUCGAACGGUGAAGGGACCGGUUUUUGCUGGUUCUGGAUGAGUGGCGAACGGGUGAGUAACACGUGAGUAACCUGCCCCCUUCUUCUGGAUAACCGCAUGAAAGUGUGGCUAAUACGGGAUAUUCUGCGCCUGCUGCAUGGUGGGUGUGGGAAAGAUAUUGUUUCGGUGGGGGAUGGGCUCGCGGCCUAUCAGCUUGUUGGUGGGGUGAUGGCCUACCAAGGCGGUGACGGGUAGCCGGCCUGAGAGGGUGGACGGUCACACUGGGACUGAGACACGGCCCAGACUCCUACGGGAGGCAGCAGUGGGGAAUAUUGCACAAUGGGCGCAAGCCUGAUGCAGCGACGCCGCGUGAGGGAUGGAGGCCUUCGGGUUGUAAACCUCUUUCGCCAGUGAAGCAGGCCUGUCCCUUUUGUGGGUGGGUUGACGGUAGCUGGAGAAGAAGCGCCGGCUAACUAUGUG
Molecule: ribosomal RNA, 493 nt
Filed under: uncultured bacterium
Lineage: Bacteria
Description: partial 16S ribosomal RNA
Rfam family: Bacterial small subunit ribosomal RNA
Source: RNAcentral